This 450-nucleotide ribosomal RNA is filed under the name uncultured bacterium. RNAcentral describes it as "partial 16S ribosomal RNA". It matches the Rfam family "Bacterial small subunit ribosomal RNA", at positions 39 to 523 of the family's 1533-position model. The record is from RNAcentral.
GCGGCAGGCCUAACACAUGCAAGUCGAGCGGAUGAGGGGUGCUUGCACCCCGAUUCAGCGGCGGACGGGUGAGUAACACGUGGGAACGUGCCCUUCGGUUCGGAAUAACUCAGGGAAACUUGAGCUAAUACCGGAUACGCCCUUUUGGGGAAAGGUUUACCGCCGAAGGAUCGGCCCGCGUCUGAGUAGCUUGUUGGUGGGGUAACGGCCUACCAAGGCGACGAUCAGUAGCUGGUCUGAGAGGAUGAUCAGCCACACUGGGACUGAGACACGGCCCAGACUCCUACGGGAGGCAGCAGUGGGGAAUAUUGGACAAUGGGCGCAAGCCUGAUCCAGCCAUGCCGCGUGAGUGAUGAAGGCCUUAGGGUUGUAAAGCUCUUUUGUCCGGGACGAUAAUGACGGUACCGGAAGAAUAAGCCCCGGCUAACUUCGUGCCAGCCGCCGCAGUAA